AUGGAGCCGACGGAGGACAUCGAGUUCCUCUGGAAAUGGCGCAAGUACCUGCUGCUGCUCGCCACGCUGGUUGCCAGCGUCACCUACGGCGUCGGUCUCAACCCGCCCGGCGGCGUGUGGUCCCAGGACCAGGAGGGGGGCACCAGCAACGCCCGGGAGCACCGCGGCGGCGCUGUCCAGCCACCGGCCCCGCCGCUCCUGCCCCCGGCGCCAGCGCCAGCGGUGUACCCGAACCGCGUGGGUGACCCGGUGCUCGUGUCGACCUACAUGCGCCGCUACACUGCCUUCUUCUACUGCAACGCCGCGGCCUUCGUUGCGUCUCUGGUCAUCAUCAUGUUCUUGCUGGACCGGCGCAUCAGCGGCAACCGCGUCGGCCUCACUGUGCUCCGCUCCGCCAUGCUGCUCGACCUGCUCGCCCUCAUGGCCGCCUUCGCCGCAGGGAGCUGCCGCGACGUCGUCGCGUCCAUCUACGUCUCCGCGCUCUUCGCCGUCGUCUUCGUCUACGUCGCCCUCCACGUCGGCGUGGCCUCCGCCUCCUCCGGUUCCAGCCUGCUACUUCUACUCGGGAGGAAGGCGCCCGACUCGUGUCCCUGGGACGCGGAGGAGAACAAGUACAUCAGGGAGCGCCGCAAAUUCCUCUUCCUCCUGGCCACCUUCGCGACGUCGCUGACGUACGCGGCGGGGCUGGCGCCGCCGGGAGGCUUCUGGACCAAGACCGUGGCCGGACACCGCGCCGGCGCCCCGCUGCUCCACGACGGGCGCUACAAGAUCCGCUACCACGCCUUCUUCUACGCCAACGCCACCUCCUUCGUCGCCUCCCUCGCCAUCAUCAUGCUGCUCAUGAGCAGGACGCUGAGGGACCGCCUCGCCCGGUCUUACGCGCUGCUUGUGUGCGUCCUGGUUGAGCUGCUCGGCCUCAUGGCCGCCUACGCCGCCGGCAGCUGCAGAUGGCCCACCACGACCGUGUACGUCUUCUCCCUUGUCGGCGCCGUGCUCCUGUACAUUCUGCUGCAGAUGGCCAUCGCCGUGUUCGCCAUGGACAAGUUCAAGAAAUGGCGAGAAGCCAUCUGUAAUAUAGUGACGACGUGCGCAGGCAAAUCGGGGCCAAAGCAAGAGAUAGUGAAGCAAAAACGAGACAAGAAAACCAACUUCGACAAUGGUCCAGAAGACAAGGUGGAGGCGUCGCGGUCCCUUGUUCUGCUGCUGGCGACCCUGGCGGCGACGGUGACCUACCAGGCUGGGCUGAGCCCGCCCGGCGGCGUCUGGCCGGAAGACGACGACCAAGGCCGCACGCAUCACGUCCCGGGGAACCCAGUUCUCCACGACAUGCACUCCAAGAGGUACAAGGCGUUCUACCACUGCAACACGGCGGCAUUCGUGGCGUCGGUGGUCGUUAUCAUCAUCGUCCAGAGCAAGCAGCUGAGCGCCGUCGGACGUGCCGCACUCAAGACGGCCAUGAUACUGGAUCUGUUCAGCCUCAUGGGCGCCUACGUUGCCGGGAGCUGCCGGGACAGAAUCACCACCGUCUACGUCGCCGCCCUCGCCGUCGCCGUCUUUGUCUACUCCAUCGCCAAAGUCGUGGCGUUCACAGCUCAGGGGCGCCAGACCAUGCCGAUUGAAUGUAUGAAGCGCUUGUCGGGGAGGCUUUCACGGUUUCUCAAACUCUCCUCCGACGAGACGCCCCGGCCAGGAGGAGCAGAACCAGCGACACAAGGUCUCCCUGCCGUUGACGCUGGCCACCAUCCGGACGAGCCGUCCUCGCAAGGAGGAGAAGACACACCUCAAGUUCAUGGUCCUGCUAGCCUCCUUACCGACGACCUUUCUAGCAUUCAAGAAACUCAGCCAGGCUCUGCGUCCGAAGGAAAGCAUACUCUUGAAGAAAACCUCGAGAACAAGCAUGUUAUUCUUGAGAAAAAAAGCCUCGAGAGGAAGCGCAAGUUCUUGCUACAGCUCGCCAUCCUCGCCGCUACCGUCACGUACCAGACCGGGCUGAACCCGCCGGGUGGGUUUUGGACGGAAAGCAAUGGGGUCAGGAAGGUCACCGCCGGUGACCCAAUCCUGCUCGACUACUACGGGGUCAGGUACCAAGUGUUCUUCUACUGUAACGCGACGGGGUUCAUGGCUUCCGUUGCCGUCAUUCUCCUCUUGGUGAACCAGACGCUGUCGAAGCAGGGCAUUCGGAGCAACGCGCUCCACGUCUGCGUCAUGAUCGGGCUUCUGGGCCUCAUGGGUGCCUAUGCCACCGGCAGCUGCCGAAAGUUGCGCACCUCCAUCUAUGUCUUUGCGCUCGUCGCUGCGGUGAUCGCCUUCCUCAUCCUGGAGAUCCUGUUCUACGUGUACGCGGACCGCCGCAAUCUAUCAGAGCAUCCAUGGGUUCCACAGUGCCUGCAAAGGCUGCUCAAGCCACUAUCUUCGGCGCCGAUGGGGCCGGAUGAUGAGAACGACAAGGACAAGGUCUCUGCCUCCAAGCGACUGCAGCAGAAACGACGCCGCGUGAAGUACGAGAAACGUAAGUCCCUGAUGCUGCUUGGCAUCCUUGCGGCGAGCGUGACGUACCAAGCAGGUCUCGCGCCUCCCGGCGGCACGUGGGGCGACGACGAUAACGCGUCAUCACCGUCCCCCUCGCCGUCGCCCUCGUCGCUAUCGCCAUCGCCGUCGGCUGCGUACAUCUCCGUUGCCGGCAACCCGAUCCUACUCAACACCAACGCGGAACGGUACCAGGCCUUUUUCUACUGCAAUGCAACGUCAUUCGUCGCCUCCGUCGUGGUCAUCAUGCUGGUGCUGCUGCGCACCGUGAAGAAGAAGCGCGGGGCACCGCUCUGGGCGAUGCAGACCGCCGUGGUGCUGGACUUGUUGGGCUUGCUGGGUGCCUACGCCGCUGGCAGCUGCAGAGACUGGGAGACGUCCGGGUACGUAAUCGCGCUCGUCGCCGUGGUGGUCGUCUUCAUCACAAUCUACGUGUUGCUAUCAUUCGACGCGGUGCUGGGGAAGGCUAAGCAGCUCACUGUGUGGAAGUACUUUUCUGACAAGAAAGAAAAGUUGUUGAAAUACUUGGGAAGAAGCAAUGAUCCUCCUGGGUGGCCGGUGCCAGUCACUAGGGUGUAA
Molecule: ribosomal RNA, 3105 nt
Filed under: Triticum aestivum (bread wheat)
Lineage: Eukaryota; Viridiplantae; Streptophyta; Magnoliopsida; Poales; Poaceae
Description: partial small subunit ribosomal RNA
Source: RNAcentral